AACGAACGCUGGCGGCAUGCCUAACACAUGCAAGUCGAACGAGACCUUCGGGUCUAGUGGCGCACGGGUGCGUAACGCGUGGGAACCUGCCCUUAGGUUCGGAAUAACACCCCGAAAGGGGUGCUAAUACCGGGUAAUGUCUUCGGAUCAAAGAUUUAUCGCCUUUGGGUGGGCCCGCGUUGGAUUAGCUAGUUGGUAGGGUAAAAGCCUACCAAGGCGACGAUCCAUAGCUGGUCUGAGAGGAUGAUCAGCCACACUGGGACUGAGACACGGCCCAGACUCCUACGGGAGGCAGCAGUGGGGAAUAUUGGACAAUGGGCGAAAGCCUGAUCCAGCAAUGCCGCGUGAGUGAUGAAGGCCUUAGGGUUGUAAAGCUCUUUUACCCGGGAUGAUAAUGACAGUACCGGGAGAAUAAGCUCCGGCUAACUCCGUG
RNAcentral lists this ribosomal RNA (433 nucleotides) under uncultured bacterium. RNAcentral describes it as "partial 16S ribosomal RNA". It matches the Rfam family "Bacterial small subunit ribosomal RNA", at positions 29 to 507 of the family's 1533-position model. The record is from RNAcentral.